CAAUAGCGUAUAUUAAAGCUGUUGCGGUUAAAAAGCUCGUAGUUGGAUUUCUGUCAAGGACAACUGGUCCGCCCCUCGGGUGAGCACAUAGUUUGGUCUUGGCAUCUUGUUGGAAACUGUUGCUGCACUUGGUUGUGUGGCGCAGUGUCCAGCACUUUCACUUUGAGGAAAUUGGAGUGUUUCAAGCAGGCACAUGCCUUUGGACACAGUAGCAUGGAAUAAUUAGAUUGGGCUUUUGCUCCAACUUGUCGGUUUCUGGAGCUGAGGUGAGAAUUAAUGGGGAUUGUUGGGGGCAUCCGAAUUUAGCCGUCAGAGGUGAAAUUCUUGGAUCUGCUAAAGACGGAAAACUGCGAAAGCGUUUGCCCAGGAUGUUUUCAUUGA
RNAcentral lists this ribosomal RNA (381 nucleotides) under uncultured eukaryote. RNAcentral describes it as "partial 18S ribosomal RNA". It matches the Rfam family "Eukaryotic small subunit ribosomal RNA", at positions 592 to 976 of the family's 1831-position model. The record is from RNAcentral.